AUGAACGCUGGCGGCGUGCCUAAUACCUGCAAGUCGAGCGAACAGAUGAGGAGCUUGCUCCUCUGACGUUAGCGGCGGACGGGUGAGUAACACGUGGAUAACCUACCUAUAAGACUGGGAUAACUUCGGGAAACCGGAGCUAAUACCGGAUAAUAUAUUGAACCGCAUGGUUCAAUAGUGAAAGACGGUUUUGCUGUCACUUAUAGAUGGAUCCGCGCCGCAUUAGCUAGUUGGUAAGGUAACGGCUUACCAAGGCGACGAUGCGUAGCCGACCUGAGAGGGUGAUCGGCCACACUGGAACUGAGACACGGUCCAGACUCCUACGGGAGGCAGCAGUAGGGAAUCUUCCGCAAUGGGCGAAAGCUUGACGGAGCAACGCCGCGUGAGUGAUGAAGGUCUUCGGAUCGUAAAACUCUGUUAUUAGGGAAGAACAAAUGUGUAAGUAACUAUGCACGUCUUGACGGUACCUAAUCAGAAAGCCACGGCUAACUACGUG
Molecule: ribosomal RNA, 496 nt
Filed under: uncultured bacterium
Lineage: Bacteria
Description: partial 16S ribosomal RNA
Rfam family: Bacterial small subunit ribosomal RNA
Source: RNAcentral